Molecule: non-coding RNA, 30 nt
Filed under: Rattus norvegicus (Norway rat)
Lineage: Eukaryota; Metazoa; Chordata; Mammalia; Rodentia; Muridae
Source: RNAcentral
UGAGUUCCUUGGCAAAUGAAGAUGGCACAC